UCCUCCCUCUGUCGGCGUGCUUAACACAUGCAAGUCGAACGGAAAGGCCCUGCUUUUGUGGGGUGCUCGAGUGGCGAACGGGUGAGUAACACGUGAGUAACCUGCCCUUGACUUUGGGAUAACUUCAGGAAACUGGGGCUAAUACCGGAUAGGAGCUCCUGCUGCAUGGUGGGGGUUGGAAAGUUUCGGCGGUUGGGGAUGGACUCGCGGCUUAUCAGCUUGUUGGUGGGGUAGUGGCUUACCAAGGCUUUGACGGGUAGCCGGCCUGAGAGGGUGACCGGCCACAUUGGGACUGAGCUACGGCCCAGACUCCUACGGGAGGCAGCAGUGGGGAAUAUUGCACAAUGGGCGGAAGCCUGAUGCAGCAACGCCGCGUGCGGGAUGACGGCCUUCGGGUUGUAAACCGCUUUCGCCUGUGACGAAGCGUGAGUGACGGUAAUGGGUAAAGAAGCACCGGCUAACUACGUG
RNAcentral lists this ribosomal RNA (468 nucleotides) under uncultured bacterium. RNAcentral's name for it is "partial 16S ribosomal RNA". It matches the Rfam family "Bacterial small subunit ribosomal RNA", at positions 36 to 507 of the family's 1533-position model. The record is from RNAcentral.